This 421-nucleotide long non-coding RNA is filed under the name Physcomitrium patens. Its description in RNAcentral is "long non-coding RNA (PPAT_LNC011105)". Lineage: Eukaryota; Viridiplantae; Streptophyta; Bryopsida; Funariales; Funariaceae. The record is from RNAcentral.
AAACAUUGAUUUUGAGCAACGAUUGAAAAGUCCUCCUAAACCCAAUGAAAUUCAAUUCUACACCUUUCGAAGGAGCUUGAAACUAGCUCUCCGACCCCAAAAUCUUGAUCUCUAAAUGCCUUCUUCUUUUUCCUCUCCUUUCUUUUAACUCCGUGAGGUCUUCAAUUCUUCCGCCCUGGACUACAAAUUGGAACUGCAGACCUGCCUCCAUGGAAAGGACGUUUCUUUGAAAUGACAUAGAAAAUGAAACAACUUAAAAUGAAACCAAAGCCUCCGUAUUCGGGACCUCAUUCGGUUGUCCAAUCGAGUUAGGUCUCAUAAUGGGUAAGAGGCCCAUACCAGGACCUUGAUUGGAUGUCCCUGUAAUUGGAUCAAAUUGGCCCUUUAUAUCAGACUCACCUGAAUAUUGAAUUAGUCUUUU